UAAUAAAUGUUUUAUGGCACUUUUUAAAUCCAUAUCCACCUUGUGUGCAAUGUCAGUCGAUCUUCUUCAUGGAGAUCGACCAAACAUCAACCUUUAUCUUUUAACUCUUUGUCUGAAAAAUAUUAUGAAUAAACAAUUCAAAAUA
This 145-nucleotide unclassified non-coding RNA is filed under the name soil metagenome. RNAcentral describes it as "partial internal transcribed spacer 1". The record is from RNAcentral.